This 301-nucleotide ribosomal RNA is filed under the name uncultured bacterium. Its description in RNAcentral is "partial 16S ribosomal RNA". It matches the Rfam family "Bacterial small subunit ribosomal RNA", at positions 510 to 808 of the family's 1533-position model. The record is from RNAcentral.
CGCCGCCACGGUAAUACGUAGGUGGCAAGCGUUGUCCGGAAUUAUUGGGCGUAAAGGGCUCGCAGGCGGUUUCUUAAGUCUGAUGUGAAAGCCCCCGGCUCAACCGGGGAUGGUCAUUGGAAACUGGGAAACUUGAGUGCAGAAGAGGAGAGUGGAAUUCCACGUGUAGCGGUGAAAUGCGUAGAGAUGUGGAGGAACACCAGUGGCGAAGGCGACUCUCUGGUCUGUAACUGACGCUGAGGAGCGAAAGCGUGGGGAGCGAACAGGAUUAGAUACCCCUGUAGUCCCUGUCUCUUAUACA